RNAcentral lists this microRNA precursor (111 nucleotides) under Otolemur garnettii (small-eared galago). RNAcentral describes it as "miRNA (ENSOGAG00000029067.1)". The record is from RNAcentral. Lineage: Eukaryota; Metazoa; Chordata; Mammalia; Primates; Galagidae.
CCAGGUAGGGGUCCAAUGAAUCUCGCUGGGGCCUCCAGAAAAUGUUGUGACUCACACAGCUGAGGAGACACGGACCCCACUUGAAUGUAAUUAAUCAAUAGAAAUUUAUUA